Daucus carota subsp. sativus is the source of this 563-nucleotide long non-coding RNA. RefSeq lists it as uncharacterized. The transcript has 2 exons. The record is from RefSeq and is a predicted model, not a curated record. Lineage: Eukaryota; Viridiplantae; Streptophyta; Magnoliopsida; Apiales; Apiaceae.
AUGUGAUAUUAUGUUUCAGAAAGUGAAGUUGUUUUGUGCAAGUCAUGAAAUAGAAAUUCCUGAAAUGGGUGAUCAUUAUCGAGCUGGCAGAGGACGUUCACGAGAUCCUAUUACUAUUGAGCAUCACUUUCGUGUUGAUAUAUUUCUAGCUACCAUCGAUUCUCAGCUAAAUGAAUUAAAUCAUAGAUUUCCAGAAAAUACAGUAGAACUCCUUGUUUUGAGCUCAGCUUUGGAUCCAACAGAUUGUUAUAAAUCAUUUGACAUUGAAGCUAUCUGCAGCUACAACUGAACGUGCCUUUUCAGCCAUGAGCUUUGUCAAAACUAAAUUACGGAACAAAAUGGAGGAUGAUUUUCUGCACAAUUACUUGAUUACUUACAUCGAGAAAGAAGUUGCUGAAAAUUUUGAUAAUGAUUCUAUCAUUGACAUGUUUUACAAGAUGAAAAAUCGUCGAUCUCAGCUUGCAUAACAUGUUUUAGUAUAGUUUUCUAGGCUUUUGAAGUAUGUAAUGUAUUACAGGAACUUUUAUGUAUGGUUUUGCCCCUCCAAAAUUUAUUCUUGGUUC